RNAcentral lists this small RNA (129 nucleotides) under Serratia marcescens. RNAcentral describes it as "RtT sRNA". It matches the Rfam family "RtT RNA". Rfam says of the family: This family represents a bacterial cis-regulatory element known as RtT RNA. The exact function of RtT is unknown although it is thought that it may be involved in changing the cellular response in relation to amino acid starvation. RNAcentral also lists the same sequence under 2 other names. The record is from RNAcentral. Lineage: Bacteria; Pseudomonadati; Pseudomonadota; Gammaproteobacteria; Enterobacterales; Yersiniaceae.
UUCGCCCGUAGUUUAUGAGGAUGAGUACCUCCGCAGGAGGUUCGAGCCUCGCGAAGCGAGACAACGUUGCUUCAGCAACGGCCCGCAGGGCGCGUAUCAAAGAUGCGCGUAAUCCUCUCUCGCCGACCA